UUCCAGCUCCAAUAGCGUAUAUUAAAGUUGUUGCAGUUAAAAAGCUCGUAGUUGAAUUUCGGGGUUAGUAGGCUGGUCAUGCCUCCGGUAUGUACUGGUCUCACUGAUUCCUCCUUCCUGAUGAACCGUAAUGCCAUAAUUUGGUGUUGCGGGGAAUCUGGACUGUUACUUUGAAAAAAUUAGAGUGUUUAAAGCAGGCUAACGCUUGAAUACAUUAGCAUGGAAUAAUGAAAUAGGACGUUCGGUCCUAUUUUGUUGGUUUCUAGGAUUGACGUAAUGAUUAAUAGGGAUAGUUGGGGGCAUUAGUAUUCAAUUGUCAGAGGUGAAAUUCUUGGAUUUAUUGAAGACUAACUACUGCGAAAGCAUUUGCCAAGGAUGUUUUCAUUAAUCAAGAACGAAAGUUAGGGGAUCGAAGACGAUCAGAUACCGUCGUAGUCUUAACCAUAAACUAUGCGACUAGGGAUCGG
RNAcentral lists this ribosomal RNA (467 nucleotides) under uncultured Glomus. RNAcentral's name for it is "SSU rRNA". It matches the Rfam family "Eukaryotic small subunit ribosomal RNA", at positions 583 to 1056 of the family's 1831-position model. The record is from RNAcentral. Lineage: Eukaryota; Fungi; Glomeromycota; Glomeromycetes; Glomerales; Glomeraceae.